This 500-nucleotide ribosomal RNA is filed under the name uncultured Glomeromycotina. RNAcentral describes it as "partial small subunit ribosomal RNA". It matches the Rfam family "Eukaryotic small subunit ribosomal RNA", at positions 591 to 1092 of the family's 1831-position model. The record is from RNAcentral. Lineage: Eukaryota; Fungi; Glomeromycota.
CCAAUAGCGUAUAUUAAAGUUGUUGCAGUUAAAAAGCUCGUAGUUGAAUUUCGGGGUUAGUAGGUUGGUCAUGCCUCUGGUAUGUACUGGUCUCACUGAUUCCUCCUUCCUGAUGAACCUUAAUGCCAUUAAUUUGGUGUUUUGGGGAAUUUGGACUGUUACUUUGAAAAAAUUAGAGUGUUUAAAGCAAGCUAACGCUUGAAUACAUUAGCAUGGAAUAAUGAAAUAGGACGUUCGAUCCUAUUUUGUUGGUUUCUAGGAUUGACGUAAUGAUUAAUAGGGAUAGUUGGGGGCAUUAGUAUUCAAUUGUCAGAGGUGAAAUUCUUGGAUUUAUUGAAGACUAACUACUGCGAAAGCAUUUGCAAAGGAUGUUUUCAUUAAUCAAGCACGAAAGUUAGGGGAUCGAAGACGAUCAGAUACCGUCGUAGUAUGAACCAUAAACUAUGCCGACUAGGGAUCGGAUGAUGUUAAUUUUUUAAUGACUCAUUCGGCGCCUUACG